Molecule: ribosomal RNA, 391 nt
Filed under: uncultured bacterium
Lineage: Bacteria
Description: bacterial SSU rRNA
Rfam family: Bacterial small subunit ribosomal RNA
Source: RNAcentral
UCCGGAAACGGGUGCUAAUACCGCAUAGUUUUCUUGAUUGCAUGAUUGAGAAAGGAAAGACGGGCCUUUGUGCUGUCGCUUAUGGAUGGACCCGCGGCGUAUUAGUUAGUUGGUGAGGUAACGGCUCACCAAGACGAUGAUACGUAGCCGACCUGAGAGGGUGAUCGGCCACAUUGGGACUGAGACACGGCCCAAACUCCUACGGGAGGCAGGCAGUAGGGAAUCUUCCGCGAAUGGACGAAAGUCUGACGGAGCAACGCCGCGUGAGUGAAAAGAAGGUUUUUCGGAUCGUAAAACUCUGUUGUCAGAGAAGAACAAGUUGGAGAGUAACUGCUCCAGCCUUGACGGUAUCUGACCAGAAAGCCACGGCUAACUACGUGCCAGCCGCCGC